This 253-nucleotide ribosomal RNA is filed under the name uncultured bacterium. Its description in RNAcentral is "partial 16S ribosomal RNA". It matches the Rfam family "Bacterial small subunit ribosomal RNA", at positions 524 to 776 of the family's 1533-position model. The record is from RNAcentral.
UACGUAGGGUGCAAGCGUUAAUCGGAAUUACUGGGCGUAAAGCGUGCGCAGGCGGCUAUGCGAGACAGAUGUGAAAUCCCCGGGCUCAACCUGGGAACUGCAUUUGUGACUGCAUGGCUAGAGUACGGCAGAGGGGGAUGGAAUUCCGCGUGUAGCAGUGAAAUGCGUAGAUAUGCGGAGGAACACCGAUGGCGAAGGCAAUCCCCUGGGCCUGUACUGACGCUCAUGCACGAAAGCGUGGGGAGCAAACAGG